AGAGUUAGAUUUUUAUUAAAAUGUUAUGACUUUAAUUUUUCCACUAAAACCUGAGCAUUAAAUUCAGCAAAAAAAAGCACACUAACAAGUAUGUGAAAGAUUAUAUGUAUAAUGUUGGUUAAAACCCUGGCUGAGAAGGUAACAAAAGCUUAAACUUACUAGAAGAUAGCAAAAUUUCCUUAUCACAAACCAGGCAAGUUACUAGCAGGUGAGGAGGAGCAUGAUGUCACUGGCAGGUAUGUAGAUGAUGCUGAUGUCACUAGCAGGUGAGGAGGAGCAUGAUGUCACUAGCAGGUGAGGAGGAGCAUGAUGUCACUGGCAGGUGUGUAGAUGAUGCUGAUGUCACUAGCAGGUGAGGAGGAGCAUGAUGUCACUAGCAGGUGUGUAGAUGAUGCUGAUGUCACUAGCAGGUGUGUAGAUGAUGCUGAUGUCACUAGCAGGUGUGUAGAUGAUGCUGAUGUCACUAGCAGGUGAG
Carassius carassius (crucian carp) is the source of this 475-nucleotide long non-coding RNA. RefSeq lists it as uncharacterized. The record is from RefSeq and is a predicted model, not a curated record. Lineage: Eukaryota; Metazoa; Chordata; Actinopteri; Cypriniformes; Cyprinidae. The transcript is spliced from 3 exons.